UUACUGCAGCCCGACUUGAGUGGAGCUCCUUUUUUUUUUGCAUUUGAAAAAAAAAGAGCGGGAACGGAAGGCGGAAAUGUCU
This 82-nucleotide unclassified non-coding RNA is filed under the name Halpernia frigidisoli. RNAcentral's name for it is "Chryseobacterium frigidisoli Flavo-1 RNA". It matches the Rfam family "Flavo-1 RNA". Lineage: Bacteria; Pseudomonadati; Bacteroidota; Flavobacteriia; Flavobacteriales; Weeksellaceae. The record is from RNAcentral.